AAGAACUGCAAACUAGAAUCUCGUGAGAGGGGGUAGAAUUUCAGGUGUAGCGGUGGAAUGCGGUGAGAUCGAAGGAAUGCCGGGGCGAAGGCGGCACCUGGACAAGACUGACGCUCAGGUACGAAAGCGUGGGGAGCAAACAGGAGGAGAUACUUUGUAGUCCACGAAGUAAACGAUGUCUACUCGGAGUUUGGUGUCUUGAACACUGGGCUCUCAAGCUAACGCAUUAAGUAGACCGCCUGGGGAGUACGGCCGCAAGGUUAAAACUCAAAUGAAUUGACGGGGGCCCGCACAAGCGGUGGAGCAUGUGGUUUAAUUCGAUGCAACGCGAAGAACCUUACCUACUCUUGACAUCCUCAGAACUUUCCAGAGAUGGAUUGGUGCCUUCGGGAACUGAGAGACAGGUGCUGCAUGGCUGUCGUCAGCUCGUGUUGUGUUAUGUUGGGUUAAGUCGCAGCUACACAUGCAGUCGAGCGGUACCUGCCCGGUCGAUAAACCGGGGGAUAACAGUUGGGGACGACUGCUCAAGUACCUCAUAGGCCCUUACGGGGGAAAGUAGGGCUACACUUCGUGCCUUCCGCGAUUGGAUCGAGUACAUAGGGUUGGGAUUAGCCUCGUUGGUGGAGGUAAUGGCUCACCAAGGCGACGAUCCGUAGUCUGGAUCUGAGAGUCUGCAACUCGAGCUCACACUGGAAGUCGAGACAUCGGUCCAGUACUCGUACGGGAGUCAGCAUGCUACGGUGAAUACGUUGCACCAUGGGCCUUGUACACACCGCCUGAUGCACGCCAUGCGGCGUGUGCUGCACCAGAAGGCCUUCGGGUUGCUUAAGCACUUUCGGCGAGGAGCGUUACCACGGUGUGUUGCGCUAAUAUCCAGUAACUGUGACGUUACUCCCCAAAAAAAACACCGGCUUACUUCUUUGCCCCAGCCCCCGGGAAUACCAAGGGGGGGGAGCGUUUAUCCGAAAUUACUUGGGCGUAAAACGGACCCCGGCCGGGUUGUGUAAACCAGAAGUGAAAAACCCCCGGCUCCCCCUGGGGAACUGGCAUCUUCCAACUGGGGAAAUAAAAGCGUUGUUGAAGGGGGGGACAAAUUUUUUGUGGCACCCGUGCACUAAAGAAAAACCCUUUUUGGAGGCUGGACCUGGCGGGGGGAGGUCCCCCCGUGUGGCCCCCCCGCUUUCUCUACAAGAAAGGGGUGUUUUUACAAGGGGGAGACCUUCCCCCGCGGGCUCUCCUCAGAUACACAGACAAAUUGAGGGGUGGGGGGGGGAGUUGCUCCCCCCCCCUCCCAGAACACUAUUUAGCCCGCCGCGAGGGAAAGUCGCGGGGGAGAGCCCUUGAAGCUAGACUGAUACAACUGCCA
RNAcentral lists this ribosomal RNA (1366 nucleotides) under uncultured Gammaproteobacteria bacterium. RNAcentral describes it as "bacterial SSU rRNA". The stretch from base 1 to 836 matches the Rfam family "Bacterial small subunit ribosomal RNA", at positions 628 to 1533 of the family's 1533-position model. The record is from RNAcentral. Lineage: Bacteria; Pseudomonadati; Pseudomonadota; Gammaproteobacteria.